UACGUAGGGGGCAAGCGUCAUCCGGAAUUAUUGGGCGUAAAGAGUGCGUAGGUGGUUACCUAAGCGCAAGGUUUAAUCUUGAGGCUCAACCUCAUUCUGCCUUGCGAACUGGGCUACUUGAGUGCAGGAGGGGAAAGCGGAAUUCCUAGUGUAGCGGUGAAAUGCGUAGAUAUUAGGAAGAACACCGGUGGCGAAGGCGGCUUUCUGGACUGUAACUGACACUGAGGCACGAAAGCGUGGGGAGCAAACAGGAUUAGAUACCCUGGUAGUCCCU
This 274-nucleotide ribosomal RNA is filed under the name uncultured prokaryote. RNAcentral describes it as "partial 16S ribosomal RNA". It matches the Rfam family "Bacterial small subunit ribosomal RNA", at positions 524 to 798 of the family's 1533-position model. The record is from RNAcentral.